CUCAAUAAACAUUCAAACUAUUCUUAAUGGUAUAAUUUUUCACAAACAUGAAGUCUGAUGGGUUCUUGUUCAUCUAAUUUAUAGGAACACAGAAAUCAUGAUUGGGGUAGACAAUGCUUUUUCUGUUGAGGGCUGCACCGUAUAGGAAUAAUCUUUCAGGAGCUAUAUGCCAAUAAUAGAUGGAACUUAAGUAAAUCUUUGUUGAAUCAAAUCUUUUUCCAAAAUCCCUUUUCUUUUUCUUGUUGACACUCUCUUUUUUCUCUAUGCAGCAGAUCACUGGAAACAGAACGAUCAUAGUUGCCACAAGUCUGAACUGAUUGCUUCCAAGCACUAGAGCCAUGAUCUCACAAGUGGAAAGGUUCGAAGGGAAGGAAGAAUGCUUUUCUCUGAAGCUUCCAACCAGAGCACUGGUAAUCAGGUAAACAAAGUUUUACAAAAUAGACUUUCAUGGGCACAAAAGCUGUCUGCCAUUUUGCACAUGCACAUGUUUAUCUUUUGGGACAUAAAAGGUACUGAAACCCCCCCAAUCAGCAGCCUGACAUAAAUAACCCAAAUUAAUAAAAUAAUGUAACACUGAAA
Long non-coding RNA from Candoia aspera, 579 nucleotides. RefSeq lists it as uncharacterized. The record is from RefSeq and is a predicted model, not a curated record. NCBI's taxonomy places the organism in Eukaryota, Metazoa, Chordata, Lepidosauria, Squamata, Candoiidae. The transcript is spliced from 2 exons.